Molecule: ribosomal RNA, 247 nt
Filed under: uncultured bacterium
Lineage: Bacteria
Description: partial 16S ribosomal RNA
Rfam family: Bacterial small subunit ribosomal RNA
Source: RNAcentral
AUACGUAGGGAGCAAGCGUUGUCCGGAUUUACUGGGUGUAAAGGGUGCGUAGGCGGUUCUGCAAGUCAGUUGUGAAAACUAUGGGCUUAACCCAUAGCCUGCAAUUGAAACUGUGGGACUUGAGUGAAGUAGAGGUAGGUGGAAUUCCCGGUGUAGCGGUGAAAUGCGUAGAGAUCGGGAGGAACACCAGUGGCGAAGGCGGCCUACUGGGCUUUAACUGACGCUGAAGCACGAAAGCAUGGGUAGC